GAUGAACGCUGGCGGCGUGCCUAAUACAUGCAAGUCGAGCGAACAGAUGAGGAGCUUGCUCCUCUGACGUUAGCGGCGGACGGGUGAGUAACACGUGGAUAACCUACCUAUCAGACUGGGAUAACUUCGGGAAACCGGAGCUAAUACCGGAUAAUAUAUUGAACCGCAUGGUUCAAUAGUGAAAGACGGUUUUGCUGUCACUUCUCGAUGGAUCCGCGCCGCAUUAGCUAGUUGGUAAGGUAACGGCUUACCAAGGCAACGAUGCGUAGCCGACCUGAGAGGGUGAUCGGCCACACUGGAACUGAGACACGGUCCAGACUCCUACGGGAGGCAGCAGUAGGGAAUCUUCCGCAAGGGGCGAAAGCCUGACGGUGGAACGCCGCGUGAGGGAUGAAGGUCUUCGGAUCGUAAAACUCUGUUAUUUGGGAAGAACAAAUGUGUAAGUAACUAUGCACGUCUUGACGGUACCUAAUCAGAAAGCCACGGCUAACUACG
Molecule: ribosomal RNA, 495 nt
Filed under: uncultured bacterium
Lineage: Bacteria
Description: partial 16S ribosomal RNA
Rfam family: Bacterial small subunit ribosomal RNA
Source: RNAcentral